This 300-nucleotide ribosomal RNA is filed under the name uncultured Ensifer sp. RNAcentral's name for it is "bacterial SSU rRNA". It matches the Rfam family "Bacterial small subunit ribosomal RNA", at positions 496 to 795 of the family's 1533-position model. The record is from RNAcentral. Lineage: Bacteria; Pseudomonadati; Pseudomonadota; Alphaproteobacteria; Hyphomicrobiales; Rhizobiaceae.
GCUAACUUCGUGCCAGCAGCCGCGGUAAUACGAAGGGGGCUAGCGUUGUUCGGAAUUACUGGGCGUAAAGCGCACGUAGGCGGACAUUUAAGUCAGGGGUGAAAUCCCGGGGCUCAACCCCGGAACUGCCUUUGAUACUGGGUGUCUCGAGUCCGGAAGAGGUGAGUGGAAUUCCGAGUGUAGAGGUGAAAUUCGUAGAUAUUCGGAGGAACACCAGUGGCGAAGGCGGCUCACUGGUCCGGUACUGACGCUGAGGUGCGAAAGCGUGGGGAGCAAACAGGAUUAGAUACCCUUGUAGUC